RNAcentral lists this ribosomal RNA (363 nucleotides) under uncultured eukaryote. Its description in RNAcentral is "partial 18S ribosomal RNA". It matches the Rfam family "Eukaryotic small subunit ribosomal RNA", at positions 592 to 976 of the family's 1831-position model. The record is from RNAcentral.
CAAUAGCGUAUAUUAACGUUGUUGCAGUUAAAAAGCUCGUAGUUGGGUUUCUGUCACAUGUGCUCUCCAUGCCUUAACUGGCAUGGUAGUGGUGCGGUGAUAUUUCUGUCGAUUUGCGAUUCGUCGUACUUCAACAGCAUUUACUUUGAGUAAAUUAGAGUGUUUCAAGCAAGCUUUUGCUUUGAAUACUGCAGCAUGGAAUAAUAAUAUAGGACGCUGGUUCUAUGUUGUUGGUUCUGAGGGCCAGUGUAAUGAUUAAUAGGAACAGUUGGGGGCAUUCGUAUUCAACAGCUAGAGGUGAAAUUCUUAGAUUUGUUGAAGACGAACUACAGCGAAANCANNNGCCAAGGAUGUUUUCAUNAA